Molecule: transfer RNA, 69 nt
Filed under: Blautia faecis
Lineage: Bacteria; Bacillati; Bacillota; Clostridia; Lachnospirales; Lachnospiraceae
Also listed under: 1 other name
Description: tRNA-OTHER
Rfam family: tRNA
About the family: Transfer RNA (tRNA) molecules are approximately 80 nucleotides in length. Their secondary structure includes four short double-helical elements and three loops (D, anti-codon, and T loops). Further hydrogen bonds mediate the characteristic L-shaped molecular structure. tRNAs have two regions of fundamental functional importance: the anti-codon, which is responsible for specific mRNA codon recognition, and the 3' end, to which the tRNAs corresponding amino acid is attached (by aminoacyl-tRNA synthetases). tRNAs cope with the degeneracy of the genetic code in two manners: having more than one tRNA (with a specific anti-codon) for a particular amino acid; and 'wobble' base-pairing, i.e. permitting non-standard base-pairing at the 3rd anti-codon position.
Source: RNAcentral
UCCUGGAUAGUUAAAUGGUUAUAACACAUGAAACUCAUGUAUUUGCCGGUUCGAAUCCGCAUCCAGGAU